UAAUGUAUGGGGAUCUGCCCGAUAGAGGGGGAUAACUACUGGAAACGGUGGCUAAUACCGCAUAAUGUCUACGGACCAAAGCAGGGGCUCUUCGGACCUUGCACUAUCGGAUGAACCCAUAUGGGAUUAGCUAGUAGGUGGGGUAAAGGCUCACCUAGGCGACGAUCACUAGCUGGUCUGAGAGGAUGAUCAGCCACACUGGGACUGAGACACGGCCCAG
RNAcentral lists this ribosomal RNA (220 nucleotides) under uncultured bacterium. RNAcentral's name for it is "partial 16S ribosomal RNA". It matches the Rfam family "Bacterial small subunit ribosomal RNA", at positions 111 to 334 of the family's 1533-position model. The record is from RNAcentral.